Molecule: long non-coding RNA, 467 nt
Filed under: Homo sapiens (human)
Lineage: Eukaryota; Metazoa; Chordata; Mammalia; Primates; Hominidae
Description: non-protein coding lnc-BMI1-2:5
Source: RNAcentral
GCGUCGCAAGCUCCACACCCAACCAAACCCGGGCAGAGGGCUCGGUGGGCGCGAGGCCGAGGGCCCAAGAGGCCGGGGCCGCUACCCCCUCGCCCCUGGGACGGCCUCCGGGUCUCCUUGCUCCAGCAGACAGGCCCGCGGCGGCUACUCCGAGGCGCAGGGGCAAGGCCGCAGCGGGCAGCGGAGGCCGAAACAGAGAACACACACAACGCGGACCGACAGCAGUCACCGCAGGGGUCGCCGGGGCGCGGCUCUAUAAAGCCUCGGCUCUAUAAAGCCGCGCUAAGCCGCAUCGCGCUGCACGUUUCCUUCCGCGCGGGGCCGGCGCUACUUCCCGCCUUACCAGGCCGCCGUGCCGGGAGGAGCUGAGACGUCUGCAAGGCCGCAACAUCUCGCAGCAGCUUUUCGCCUGCUUCCUCCGCUCGCUCUAGAGGGCACAGCAAGAACAAGUGGAGAAACUAACAACC